RNAcentral lists this ribosomal RNA (506 nucleotides) under uncultured Rhodococcus sp. RNAcentral's name for it is "bacterial SSU rRNA". It matches the Rfam family "Bacterial small subunit ribosomal RNA", at positions 372 to 889 of the family's 1533-position model. Lineage: Bacteria; Bacillati; Actinomycetota; Actinomycetes; Mycobacteriales; Nocardiaceae. The record is from RNAcentral.
UCCCCGGAAGCCUGAUGCAGCGACGCCGCGUGAGGGAUGAAGGCCUUCGGGUUGUAAACCUCUUUCAGCAGGGACGAAGCGUGAGUGACGGUACCUGCAGAAGAAGCACCGGCUAACUACGUGCCAGCAGCCGCGGUAAUACGUAGGGUGCGAGCGUUGUCCGGAAUUACUGGGCGUAAAGAGUUCGUAGGCGGUUUGUCGCGUCGUUUGUGAAAACCCGGGGCUCAACUUCGGGCUUGCAGGCGAUACGGGCAGACUUGAGUGUUUCAGGGGAGACUGGAAUUCCUGGUGUAGCGGUGAAAUGCGCAGAUAUCAGGAGGAACACCGGUGGGGAAGGCGGGUCUCUGGGAAACAACUGACGCUGAGGAACGAAAGCGUGGGUAGCAAACAGGAUUAGAUACCCUGGUAGUCCACGCCGUAAACGGUGGGCGCUAGGUGUGGGUUCCUUCCACGGGAUCUGUGCCGUAGCUAACGCAUUAAGCGCCCCGAAUGGGGAGUACGGUUGC